UACGUAGGGGGCAAGCGUUGUCCGGAUUUAUUGGGCGUAAAGAGCGUGUAGGCGGCCAUACAGGUCAGCUGUGAAAACUCGAGGCUCAACCUCGAGACGUCGGUUGAAACCGUAUGGCUAGAGUCCGGAAGAGGAGAGUGGAAUUCCCGGUGUAGCGGUGAAAUGCGCAGAUAUCGGGAAGAACACCGGUGGCGAAGGCGGGUCUCUGGGCAACUACUGACGCUGAGGAGCGAAAGCGUGGGGAGCGAACAGG
This 253-nucleotide ribosomal RNA is filed under the name uncultured bacterium. Its description in RNAcentral is "partial 16S ribosomal RNA". It matches the Rfam family "Bacterial small subunit ribosomal RNA", at positions 524 to 776 of the family's 1533-position model. The record is from RNAcentral.